Molecule: ribosomal RNA, 477 nt
Filed under: uncultured Hydrogenophaga sp.
Lineage: Bacteria; Pseudomonadati; Pseudomonadota; Betaproteobacteria; Burkholderiales; Comamonadaceae
Description: bacterial SSU rRNA
Rfam family: Bacterial small subunit ribosomal RNA
Source: RNAcentral
GGCGAACGGGUGAGUAAUGCAUCGGAACGUGCCCAAUCGUGGGGGAUAACGCAGCGAAAGCUGUGCUAAUACCGCAUACGAUCUACGGAUGAAAGCGGGGGACCUUCGGGCCUCGCGCGAAUGGAGCGGCCGAUGUUAGAUUAGGUAGUUGGUGGGGUAAAGGCUCACCAAGCCGACGAUCUAUAGCUGGUCUGAGAGGACGACCAGCCACACUGGAACUGAGACACGGUCCAGACUCCUACGGGAGGCAGCAGUGGGGAAUUUUGGACAAUGGGCGAAAGCCUGAUCCAGCAAUACCGCGUGCAGGAAGAAGGCCUUCGGGUUGUAAACUGCUUUUGUACGGAACGAAAAGGCUCUUUCUAAUAAAGAGGGCUCAUGACGGUACCGUAAGAAUAAGCACCGGCUAACUACGUGCCAGCAGCCGCGGUAAUACGUAGGGUGCGAGCGUUAAUCGGAAUUACUGGGCGUAAAGCGUGC